Molecule: ribosomal RNA, 469 nt
Filed under: uncultured bacterium
Lineage: Bacteria
Description: partial 16S ribosomal RNA
Rfam family: Bacterial small subunit ribosomal RNA
Source: RNAcentral
GACGAACGCUGGCGGCGUGCUUAACACAUGCAAGUCGAACGGUGAAGCGAGUGCUUGCACUCGUGGAUCAGUGGCGAACGGGUGAGUAACACGUGAGUAACCUGCCCAUCACUCUGGGAUAAGCACUGGAAACGGUGUCUAAUACUGGAUACGACCAACCCUUCCAUGGGGUGUUGGGGGAAAUAUUUAUCGGUGAUGGAUGGACUCGCGGCGUAUCAGCUUGUUGUCGGGGUAAUGGCGCACCAAGGCGACGACGGUUAGCCGGCAUGAGAGGGUGACCGGCCACACUGGGACUGAGAGACGGCCCAGACUCCUACGGGAGGCAGCAGUGGGGAAUAUUGCACAAUGGGCGAAAGCCUGAUGCAGAGACGCCGCGUGAGGGAUGACGGCCUUCGGGUUGUAAACCUCUUUCAGCAGGGAAGAAGCGAAAGUGACGGUACCUGCAGAAGAAGCACCGGCUAACUACGUG